CAGUCGCCGCGGGAAUACGGAGGGUGCAAGCGUUAAUCGGAAUUAUUGGGCGUAAAGCGCACGCAGGCGGUUUGUUAAGUCAGAUGUGAAAUCCCCGAGCUUAACUUGGGAACUGCAUUUGAAACUGGCAAGCUAGAGUCUUGUAGAGGGGGGUAGAAUUCCAGGUGUAGCGGUGAAAUGCGUAGAGAUCUGGAGGAAUACCGGUGGCGAAGGCGGCCCCCUGGACAAAGACUGACGCUCAGGUGCGAAAGCGUGGGGAGCAAACAGGAUUAGAUACCCCUGUAGUCCCUGUCUCUUAUAC
RNAcentral lists this ribosomal RNA (301 nucleotides) under uncultured bacterium. RNAcentral describes it as "partial 16S ribosomal RNA". It matches the Rfam family "Bacterial small subunit ribosomal RNA", at positions 509 to 807 of the family's 1533-position model. The record is from RNAcentral.